This 495-nucleotide ribosomal RNA is filed under the name uncultured bacterium. Its description in RNAcentral is "partial 16S ribosomal RNA". It matches the Rfam family "Bacterial small subunit ribosomal RNA", at positions 28 to 507 of the family's 1533-position model. The record is from RNAcentral.
GACGAACGCUGGCGGCGUGCCUAAUACAUGCAAGUAGAACGCUGAAGGAGGAGCUUGCUUCUCUGGAUGAGUUGCGAACGGGUGAGUAACGCGUAGGUAACCUGCCUGGUAGCGGGGGAUAACUAUUGGAAACGAUAGCUAAUACCGCAUAAGAGUAGAUGUUGCAUGACAUUUACUUAAAAGGUGCAAUUGCAUCACUACCAGAUGGACCUGCGUUGUAUUAGCUAGUUGGUGAUGUAACGGCUCAACAAGGCAACGAUACAUAGCCGACCUGAGAGGGUGAUCGGCCACACUGGGACUGAGACACGGCCCAGGCUUCUACGGGAGGCAGCAGUAGGGAAUCUUCGGCAAUGGACGGAAGUCUGGACGAGCAAAGGCGGGUGAGUGAAGAAGGUUUUCGGAUCGUAAAGCUCUGUUGUAAGAGAAGAACGAGUGUGAGGGUGGAAAGUUCACACUGUGACGGUAUCUUACCAGAAAGGGACGGCUAACUACGUG